AUUGAACGCUGGCGGCAGGCCUAACACAUGCAAGUCGGACGGUAGCACAGAGGAGCUUGCUCCUCGGGUGACGAGUGGCGGACGGGUGAGUAAUGUCUGGGGAUCUGCCCGAUAGAGGGGGAUAACCACUGGAAACGGUGGCUAAUACCGCAUAACGUCGCGAGACCAAAGAGGGGGACCUUCGGGCCUCUCACUAUCGGAUGAACCCAGAUGGGAUUAGCUAGUAGGCGGGGUAACGGCCACCUAGGCGACGAUCCCUAGCUGGUCUGAGAGGAUGACCAGCCACACUGGAACUGAGACACGGUCCAGACUCCUACGGGAGGCAGCAGUGGGGAAUAUUGCACAAUGGGCGCAAGCCUGAUGCAGCCAUGCCGCGUGUAUGAUGAAGGCCUUCGGGUUGUAAAGUACUUUCAGCGGGGAGGAAGGCGAUGUGGUUAAUAACCGCGUCGAUUGACGUUACCCGCAGAAGAAGCACCGGCUAACUCCGUGCCAGCCGCCGCCGUAA
Molecule: ribosomal RNA, 505 nt
Filed under: uncultured bacterium
Lineage: Bacteria
Description: partial 16S ribosomal RNA
Rfam family: Bacterial small subunit ribosomal RNA
Source: RNAcentral